ACGCAUGCCAGGCGAGCGUGCUACCGCUUGAGCCACAUCCCCAGCCCUUAGAAUAUAUUUUUAUGUGUGAAUAUUUUUUUGUAUUGGAGAGUUUACCUGGGGAUACUUUACCACUUUUGUCUAUCCCCACCCCUUCUCCCUUUUUUAAAAAAGUUUUGAGAUAGCAGGGUCCUAAGCAACAAAGUGAGACUGAGUUGUUGAGGAUAGUUUCAAAUUUGCAAUCCUCCCUCAUACUCCUGAGUCUGAAAUUAUAGGUGUGUGAGAGGUUUUAUAGUUUUAUAAAGUACCAUCUGACUUAAUUGCAAUGUUUCUUAGUGAAAAUGAUAUGAUUGGCUUACUAGAUUUUGGAUUGGUUUUUUGAACCAAAAUAAGUAUUGAUGUUAAGAUUAUUAGAUGGAGAAAAAUCUAAAUCCUAAAGCUUGCUUGAGGAUAAAUAUGGCUGUGCUUGUACUUUGUCAAAAGUAGAGACAUGGAACCUUGUUUCCAAUAGUGUGUGUGAAUGCAUGUGUGUAUAUUUCCAACUGAGAAAUUCUAAAAAUGCGGCUCAUGGGUUUUAGUUAAUCUCAACAAAAAGGAAGUUUUUCUUUAUUUUUUAAAAUUUUUUUUGAGAGAAUUUUUUUUUAAUAUUUAUUUUAGUUCUCGGCGGACACAACAUCUUUGUAUGUGGUGCUGAGGAUCGAACCCCGGCCGCACGCCAGGCGAGCGCACUACCGCUUGAGCCACAUCCCCAGCCCAAAAGGAAGUUUUUCUAAGUGGGCAGUAAUUAAACAUGAAAAGGAAAAAAAGGUGCUAAAAGAGUAUAAAGAGUAAGGCACUAAGCAACUCACUGAGACCCUGUCUAAAUAAAAUACAAAAAAGAAAUAGGGCUGGGGAUGUAGCUUAGUGGUUGAGUUAUCCCUGAGUUCAAUCCCAGGUAUCAGGAAAAAAAUACAUGGUUCCUGAAAAAUGGUAUAGAUGAGGAAAGUGUUUCUUGGGAGAGUCUUAUAUAUAUCCUUUGCUUCAUACAAGAAGGGAGGAAAGAGAUUUCUGGCUGCAUAAAGGAUGGAGGUAGUAGUAUAGGCAUAACUUUAGAAUAACGUAAGAGUGCUGGGAGGGUAUGAUAACUCUCAGGCUGUCACCACAAAAUCUGAGAAAUACCCAUAGGUCUGUAUCACAACCUAGCACAUGUCAUUUGCCACUGACUAACGUUUUAUAUGUAGAGAGAUUAGCUAUACACAAUAUUACAUAUACCUGGCUUUUAGAGAAACAGGUGAUUAAAGUAAUGAAAAUAGUGAACCUGGUAAUAAAACUUCCCUGAAAGCAAUAAGUUAACACUUGAUUAAAAUUUUGAAAAGAAUGGCUUAAGGUUGCUGACUAUCUUAAAGUAUUAAAAUAGGUCUUAAACUUUGAGCUAAAUCAGUUGAGUUGCACUGUAGAUAUAUAUUCAGUGACAAUGUAUUAGUGAAUUUAAAAGUUAAAUAGCUUUUGGUGUAAAAUGCUCUAUAGUGGCCCAUUAUUGUCAGGCACUUGGAUUUUUCUCUUGAUAGAAUGAAUGCCUUACAUUUCUUCCCAUGUUUUUGCAAUUUGUUUGGUUUUGUGGGUAUGUAAAGUGAAGGAUGUGUCGCCAGCUUCAGAACUAAAUUUAAAUUAGUGUCUCCAGUAAAGGGGCUCAAUUGCAAUGAAGUGAAAAGUUUAUAUGAGAAUAAAAAUUGUUAAAUUCAGGGGCACUUAGGUAUAGGAAAAAUAGCAGUAUGUGGUUAGUACUUUAAUGAAGUUUCUAGAUAUUUAUAAUUUUAUACUGAAUUUAUUCAAAUCAUUGAUUUAGUGAUAUGGAAAGAGCUUUUUAUUUGCAUUAAUUUUGGUACCAAGCAUUGUUACGUGUCUUCCCUGUAGGGAGAUAAAGGAAAAGGUAGUAAAAGAUCAAAGUAUAUUCUUAAAAGGAGUAGUUCUUUACAAGGUACUUCUUAAUGCAAAUUUUAGGUUGUUUUAUAUAGUUUAUAAAUGAAAACAGCAUUCAGGUUUUGGGCAUGGUAAUUUGUAACCCUUUGCUUCCCUAUAUUUGAAUAUAAAGCUAGCAUGUUGUAUAAAUACGGAAUUUGAGUUGAAUCCCAUCAUUCUAUGCUUGAGGAAAAUAAUUUGAAUUUUGUCUAGUACUUGACUUCAAACUAUCUUUUAAAAGUCAGUUCUUGCUCUUAUCUUUAUCUCUUUGUUGAAAAGACUGAGCUCAACUUGUAAUGUUGAGAGGGAAGAAAACAAAAACACCCAUUCCAGUGUUUCUGCCUCUUAGCACCAGGGCCCAGAAUGGACCUGGGAAAGAGGGCACAGCUAGUAUAAACUUGGUGAGAGGGUAGAAUUGAGUACAUUGCUCUGGCUGCAGUGGAUUGGCUAGGUUCUUUGAUGUCCAGUCACCUCCAGCAAGUUCUCAUGUAAAAACAUAAAAGUGUUUUUAGAUGUCUGAAAGAAGAUCUUGGGCCAUCAAAGCUCAAAGCCACCCACCCCUGCCUUAUUCCUAAUUAUUCCAGAAGUAGUGCUGGAGAGAAGCCU
This 2523-nucleotide long non-coding RNA is filed under the name Marmota monax (woodchuck). The record is from RNAcentral. Lineage: Eukaryota; Metazoa; Chordata; Mammalia; Rodentia; Sciuridae.